GAUGAACGCUGGCGGCGUGCCUAAUACAUGCAAGUCGAGCGAACGGACGAGAAGCUUGCUUCUCUGAUGUUAGCGGCGGACGGGUGAGUAACACGUGGAUAACCUACCUAUAAGACUGGGAUAACUUCGGGAAACCGGAGCUAAUACCGGAUGAUAUUUUGAACCGCAUGGUUCAAAAGUGAAAGACGGUCUUGCUGUCACUUAUAGAUGGAUCCGCGCUGCAUUAGCUAGUUGGUAAGGUAACGGCUUACCAAGGCAACGAUGCAUAGCCGACCUGAGAGGGUGAUCGGCCACACUGGAACUGAGACACGGUCCAGACUCCUACGGGAGGCAGCAGUAGGGAAUCUUCCGCAAUGGGCGAAAGCCUGACGGAGCAACGCCGCGUGAGUGAUGAAGGUCUUCGGAUCGUAAAACUCUGUUAUUAGGGAAGAACAUAUGUGUAAGUAACUGUGCACAUCUUGACGGUACCUAAUCAGAAAGCCACGGCUAACUACGUGCCAGCAGCCGCGGUAAUACGUAGGUGGCAAGCGUUAUCCGGAAUUAUUGGGCGUAAAGCGCGCGUAGGCGGUUUUUUAGUCUGAUGUGAAAGCCCACGGCUCAACCCGUGGAGGGUCAUUGGAAACUGGAAAACUUGAGUGCAGAAGAGGAAAGUGGAAUUCCAUGUGUAGCGGUGAAAUGCGCAGAGAUAUGGAGGAACACCAGUGGCGAAGGCGACUUUCUGGUCUGUAACUGACGCUGAUGUGCGAAAGCGUGGGGAUCAAACAGGAUUAGAUACCCUGGUAGUCCACGCCGUAAACGAUGAGUGCUAAGUGUUAGGGGGUUUCCGCCCCUUAGUGCUGCAGCUAACGCAUUAAGCACUCCGCCUGGGGAGUACGACCGCAAGGUUGAAACUCAAAGGAAUUGACGGGGACCCGCACAAGCGGUGGAGCAUGUGGUUUAAUUCGAAGCAACGCGAAGAACCUUACCAAAUCUUGACAUCCUUUGACAACUCUAGAGAUAGAGCCUUCCCCUUCGGGGGACAAAGUGACAGGUGGUGCAUGGUUGUCGUCAGCUCGUGUCGUGAGAUGUUGGGUUAAGUCCCGCAACGAGCGCAACCCUUAAGCUUAGUUGCCAUCAUUAAGUUGGGCACUCUAAGUUGACUGCCGGUGACAAACCGGAGGAAGGUGGGGAUGACGUCAAAUCAUCAUGCCCCUUAUGAUUUGGGCUACACACGUGCUACAAUGGACAAUACAAAGGGCAGCGAAACCGCGAGGUCAAGCAAAUCCCAUAAAGUUGUUCUCAGUUCGGAUUGUAGUCUGCAACUCGACUACAUGAAGCUGGAAUCGCUAGUAAUCGUAGAUCAGCAUGCUACGGUGAAUACGUUCCCGGGUCU
This 1372-nucleotide ribosomal RNA is filed under the name uncultured bacterium. RNAcentral's name for it is "bacterial SSU rRNA". It matches the Rfam family "Bacterial small subunit ribosomal RNA", at positions 28 to 1381 of the family's 1533-position model. The record is from RNAcentral.